CGAGCCCUUCCAUUUCACCACCUAGUCCAGCCCAUCCUCUCUCGCGGGCCGAAUAUCCCUCCCCUGCCGCCGGCGUCCGCCUGUCCCCUGCCCGGCGCAUGCUCCCUCGCAGCGGCGGAGGCCUCGGUCCUCCGGUUCGCGUUCGCCGGCGAGGAGGUCGCCGGCGCUGCACGCGGUUGCGCCGCGAACGGCGGGACCAGCCGGAGCCAAGCGCCGCACGCAGUCUGGCCCGCCGGCAGAGCAGAUUCGUUCGGUGAUGGCUGCGCCUGUUGCUGUCUCAGCGUCGACGAGGAUCCCCUGAGACGGCCACCAGUAGCCUCCUCACAAGGUAAAGGAAAAGAAGAAGCUGCAUUCUUUGUACCUUCUCACCAAUCGCAUCUUGAAUUAGUAUUGUGUCAGCAGAUGUACCGAACACUACCUGUCCACCUUUGAUUUCUGUAUCAAAGAAUGCCAUGUCUUGUCUCAAAACCGACUUGAGAUACAAAGAUCGAAAGCGAGCUGCCUGCCUCUCCCCAGUCACGGUCCAGCAUGAUAUCUCUGUAGAAGCAUCGAUGGGCGAUCUGAUAUUGAGUAUGCGCCUGUGGUAUUCCUAGAUUCAUACAGAAGCAAAAGGGUACCUUGUCAACUCGGGGAAGGAUGGUGCCCCGGGUGGCACCUCCAAAGGCAUCUACCAUCCGCCCGAAGAUGAUCGACAUGACCACCUGUGACAUGCCGCUCGCAAGCGCGGCGACUGUGCCAACCAGCAUCAGCACCACAUCAGUGGCGUCCGCGUUCUUGAACAGGUGUCCACAUCAGAGGAUGACUAGGACACUUGGUGCAUCAGCUCGGUCGUACGCAUCGGCUUGGCUGCGUCAGCUCAGAUGAGCUUAGCAGGCCUUGUCUUGCCUGGCAGUGGCAGGAGGUAUCGCAGGAUGUUCAGCGCCCUGAUUUGGAGCUAGUCGCUCGCGCCACGAUGGCGACCUGGCAGCUGCUGGAGUGAGCCAAAUGGAAGAUCCCUGGGGACCUGAGCGUUUGGAUGCUUGGAGCAUCAGCUCUGUUCGGAUGUGUGUGAGAGCUUCUGCAAAUGGCAUGGCCUGGCCCCGCUCUCUUUUUGUUCUUAUCCUGCUUAUGCAGAUUAGGGCAUAGCGUGUAGGACCUAAGUAGGGGUACUGUGUAUUUCUAAGCUUUUUAGAGUGUAUUUGUUUCUGACCGAAGAUAUAUACUAUUACUUCAUUGAUUAUGUUUGUAUGUGUGCGAAGAAAAUCUCACUUCCAAAUUA
Triticum aestivum (bread wheat) is the source of this 1258-nucleotide long non-coding RNA. RefSeq lists it as uncharacterized. The transcript has 6 exons. The record is from RefSeq and is a predicted model, not a curated record. NCBI's taxonomy places the organism in Eukaryota, Viridiplantae, Streptophyta, Magnoliopsida, Poales, Poaceae.